This is a long non-coding RNA of Sitodiplosis mosellana (orange wheat blossom midge), 1340 nucleotides long. RefSeq lists it as uncharacterized. NCBI's taxonomy places the organism in Eukaryota, Metazoa, Arthropoda, Insecta, Diptera, Cecidomyiidae. The transcript has 2 exons. The record is from RefSeq and is a predicted model, not a curated record.
GAAAAUGAAUAUAUUUUCCAAAUGAUAUGUUCUUUUUUCCUUAACUUUUUUUUUCUAUUCUUCUUUAAACUUAAUUUUAUCAAAUAUCAAAACAAAGGGGUUUAAUCCACAUUCACAUUCGCUUAUUUUAUUUAGCAAUUAAAUGGAGAAAUAGACAUUAAGAUAAAUGUUUUUAAUUUUAAUUUCCUACAAUUUUUAAUUGAAUUGUUGUCGCUUCAAAUGGGCCAUAUUCUGCAUCUUAAAUUUAUGUUUAUUUAUUGAAUAAUAAUUAUUAACGAUCUCAAGGUUCAUCUGAGAAAAAAGAAAUUUAGUUGACGGCAACCAAAAUAAAAAAAAAAUAGACACAGAAAUAGACACAUCGAAAGCAUCAUUCAGCGUAAUAAAAUGACCAUUGCAUUCAUGUGGAACAGAUCGAACCCAAACACACGACACUUGAUUGCCAUUGAUCCCAUAAGUUGUUUGGUUGUUUCGAACACAUACACACACACACACACACACACUCAAACAUCUAGUUAUUAUCAACAUAUUCAUAAGUACAUUUUGAUAUUAUUAAUUACUACUAACACAGCUGCCCGUGACUCCUCCAAAAAAAAAAAAAAACCAAAACACAUUACCAUCCAUUGAUUACAUGAUCAAAAAUCAAAGCCAACUGUAAUAUUCGAAUAAGGUAUAUUGUUUUCUCAUUCAUACCAUAGUGAGUUGAGUGAAGUGAUAUCACAAAUAUUGCCUGAUAGUGUCUGCGGUCCAACACAACAAAUAACAUCCUUUAGGAUGAUGACAAACAUCAUCAUCGUUUUGAUAAUAGUUUUUAGAAGCAUUUGCAGUGUUAUUUGCGAUUUGAAUUUCAUUAUCAACAUUUUAUUUCUUUUUGGGAGUCCCCCCCACACACACACACACACACACACACCGAACCAUUUCUUAUCUAUCGUCACCAACAAUUUUGUUAUUGUUGUUGUUGUUUAUUGUCUGAUUUUAAAUUUUAAUUUUGAAUUAUGUCAAUAUUUUUUUAGGAUUAUUCUACGCACAAUUAUACUUUAGAAUGAAAUGGUUGUAAAAAAAAUCCUACUCAUUGAUUUACCAAACAAACAUUGUAUCGGUUUUUGAUAACAGGAUUUAUCAUCUAGAAUAAAAAUUGUAGCUAAUGAAAUGACAGGAAAUGUUCGCUUCAAUCAGAAUCAAAUAAUUCGUCAGAAGAAAAAAUGGAAUUAAAUUGUUUGAAAUUUAGACAUAGGCCAAAUAAUCAUAGAUUUAAAACAAAAAUUCACUGACCAAUUGUCCAUUGAACUGGGUUAAAAUCAAAGUGUUCAAUUUGAUCUAGAGGUUUUGAUAAAAAAAUAAAA